GGAGGGUCCAAGCGUUAUCCGGAAUCAUUGGGUUUAAAGGGUCCGUAGGCGGUUUUGUAAGUCAGUGGUGAAAGCCCAUCGCUCAACGGUGGAACGGCCAUUGAUACUGCAAGACUUGAAUUAUUGGGAAGCAACUAGAAUAUGUAGUGUAGCGGUGAAAUGCUUAGAGAUUACAUGGAAUACCAAUUGCGAAGGCAGGUUGCUACCAAUACAUUGACGCUGAUGGACGAAAGCGUGGGGAGCGAACAGGAUUAGAUACCCUGGUAGUCCACGCCGUAAACGAUGGAUACUAGCUGUUCGGAGCAAUCUGAGUGGCUAAGCGAAAGUGAUAAGUAUCCCACCUGGGGAGUACGUUCGCAAGAAUG
This 365-nucleotide ribosomal RNA is filed under the name uncultured bacterium. RNAcentral describes it as "bacterial SSU rRNA". It matches the Rfam family "Bacterial small subunit ribosomal RNA", at positions 527 to 896 of the family's 1533-position model. The record is from RNAcentral.